UGAGGAAUAUUGCACAAUGGGCGCAAGCCUGAUGCAGCAACGCCGCGUGCGGGACGACGGCCUUCGGGUUGUAAAACGCUUUUCUGAGGGAAGAGCGAGGACGGUAGCUUAGGCAUAAGUCCCGGCUAAAUACGUGCCAGCAGCCGCGGUAAAACGCAGGCGGCGAGCGGUGUCCGGAUUUACUGGGCGUAAAGCGCGCGCAGGUGGACGUGUAAGUGGGACGUGAAAGCUCCUGGCUUAACUGGGAGAGGUCGUUCGAUACUGCGGGGCUUGAGGUUGGGAGAGGGGUGUGGAAUUCCCGGUGUAGUGGUGGAAUGCGUAGAUAUCGGGAGGAACACCUGAGGCGAAGGCGGCACCCUGGCCCACACCUGACACUGAGGUGCGAAAGCGUGGGGAGUAAACAG
This 404-nucleotide ribosomal RNA is filed under the name uncultured bacterium. RNAcentral describes it as "bacterial SSU rRNA". It matches the Rfam family "Bacterial small subunit ribosomal RNA", at positions 355 to 775 of the family's 1533-position model. The record is from RNAcentral.